Molecule: long non-coding RNA, 615 nt
Filed under: Homo sapiens (human)
Lineage: Eukaryota; Metazoa; Chordata; Mammalia; Primates; Hominidae
Description: LHRI_LNC1155.3
Source: RNAcentral
AGUUCUCUCGCGACCUCUAGCCACUUCCGGUUGCUAACGGUUCCCAAACAGCCCCCGAAAACGCUACGUGAGCUGGGCCCUGGGCCAGAGGCAGAAAACGGACGGAAGAAAAGGUCUGGCCGGAGAUGGGUCUCACUCUGUCACCCAGACUGGAGUGCAGUGAGUGGUGCGAUCAUAGCUUACUGCAGCCUGAAACUCCUGGGCUCAAGUGAUCUUCUCGCCUCAGCCUCCUGAGUAGCUGGAGCUACAGGAAUGAGCAUAGAUGAACAAUGUUGCAUCACGCUUGACAUCACCGGGGCUUCUUUCCAGUGUGGAUUUGCUCAUGUAAAAUGAGGUGUGAGCUCUGCCUGAAAGCUUUUCCAUAUGCAUCACAUUUGCAGGGCUUUUCUCCAGUGUGGGUUCUUUGGUGUCUCAAAAGAUGUGAGCUGUUACUGAAAGCUUUCCCACACACAUCACACUCAUAGGGCUUCUCUCUACCGUGGAUUCGCUGGUGUCCAACAAGAGCUGAACUGUAUCUGAAGGCCUUUCCACGCUUGUCACAUUCAUAUAGUUUCUUUCCACUGUGGAUUUUCUGGUGACAGAAGAGGCCCAAGCACUAGCUAAAGCUUUUCCCUC